CAGUCGCCGCGGUAAUACGUAGGGUGCAAGCGUUAAUCGGAAUUACUGGGCGUAAAGCGCGCGUAGGUGGUUUGUUAAGUUGGAUGUGAAAUCCCCGGGCUCAACCUGGGAACUGCAUCCAAAACUGGCAAGCUAGAGUAUGGUAGAGUGUGGUGGAAUUUCCUGUGUAGCGGUGAAAUGCGUAGAUAUAGGAAGGAACACCAGUGGCGAAGGCGACCACCUGGACUGAUACUGACACUGAGGUGCGAAAGCGUGGGGAGCAAACAGGAUUAGAUACCCCAGUAGUCCCUGUCUCUUAUAC
RNAcentral lists this ribosomal RNA (301 nucleotides) under uncultured bacterium. Its description in RNAcentral is "partial 16S ribosomal RNA". It matches the Rfam family "Bacterial small subunit ribosomal RNA", at positions 509 to 807 of the family's 1533-position model. The record is from RNAcentral.